Y RNA from Pongo abelii (Sumatran orangutan), 109 nucleotides. It matches the Rfam family "Y RNA". From Rfam's summary of the family: Y RNAs are components of the Ro ribonucleoprotein particle (Ro RNP), in association with Ro60 and La proteins. The record is from Ensembl. NCBI's taxonomy places the organism in Eukaryota, Metazoa, Chordata, Mammalia, Primates, Hominidae.
GGUUGGUCUGAAGGUAGUGUGUUAUCUCAACUGAUUGCUCACAGUUACAGAUCAAACUCCUUGUUCUAUUCUUUUCCCCCUUCUCACUACUGCACUUGACUAAUCUAAA